Molecule: long non-coding RNA, 14039 nt
Filed under: Homo sapiens (human)
Lineage: Eukaryota; Metazoa; Chordata; Mammalia; Primates; Hominidae
Description: HSALNT0296326
Source: RNAcentral
GGAACUAUUUCAGAGCCAGAGGAGGAUAGUGGCGGCGGCGAACUUUGCCCGGUAGAUUUUACUGACUGGGGUGCUGGCGCGCGCCUUUUUCUCGGCCAGAAUCCAGUUAUUGGGAUAGUCUUGACUUCUACCUCAGCCCAACUUCUGUGGUCGUAAUAUUAGUUUAGCUUGGGUUUGCCGUGAAGUAAGAAGACUGACUUCCGCAAAGGUACUGAACGACUGGGUGUAGGUGCCAGGGCAUGGACGUGAAGCUGGAACCGCGAAAUGAGUUAGUUGUGGGCCGCUGGCCUCAAGGAGCGAACGUCAGCGCGAAGAGGAGAAGCUUGUGCAUACGCUCUGAUAAGGGUUUUAAUAGAGAGAUGGAAUCUCGCUGUGUCACCCAGGCUGGAAUGCAGUGACUCGAUCAUAACUCACUAUGACCUCGAACUCCCAGGCUAAAGCAGUCCUCAAGCAAUCCUUCCACCUCAGCCUUCUGAGUAGCUGGGAGUAGCUGAUUAACUAAUGCGUGUCACCACGCCCAGCUAAUUUGUGUAUGUGUGUGCACAGGUGUAGAGCUAGGGGUCUUGCUAUGUUGCUCAGGCUAGUCUUGAACUCCUGGCCUCAAGCAGUCUUGUCUUGACCUCUCAAACCAGUGGGACUGUAGGUGUGAGCCAUUGCUCCUGGCUGAGCACUGUUUUUUUUAGGACAGACUGUAUUCAUUGUUGCAAUCUUCAGCUUUUGGAACAUCGUCUAGGACAGAGAAGCUGCACAAUAUGUAUUUAUCGAAUGAGUGAAUGAUACUUUUGGGAGAGAAGACAGUGGGUUGGAGAAAUAUCUUGGAAGAAUUGGAAAUUUUAGGUGGACCUUGAAGAAAGGGUAAAAUUCAAUUAGGACACAAGCAGUGAUCAAAAGCAUUGAGUUGGGAACAAAGUGGUAGGAUGUGGGAGUUAGUAUAUAGUAAAAACAACUAAAAUAUAGAAAGAGAUUAUGUGUUUAAUAGAAAUAGGAUUGACUAAAGUGAAUCCACGUUGUAUCUGUAAGAGGUCCAUCGUUGAACUUUAUUUUUUUUUGUUUUGUUUUUGAGACAGGGUCUCACUCUGUUAUCUAGGCUGGAGUGCGGUGGCACAAUCUCAGCUCACUGCAGCCUCAGCCUCCCAGGUUCAAGUGAUUCUCCUGCUUCAGCCUCCCAUAUAGGGAUUACAGGCCUGCACCACCACACCUGGCUAAUUUUUGUAUUUUUAGUACAGACGGGAUUUCACCAUGUUGGCCAGGCUGGUCUCGAACUCCUGACUUCAAGUGAUCCACCCGCCUCGGCCUUCCAGAGUGCUGGGAUUACAGGCCUGAGCCACUGCACCCAGCCACCUGUAUUUAUUUUUGAGACAGGGUCUUGUUCUGUCGCCUUGGCUGGAGUGCAGUGGUGCAAUCAUGGCUCACUGCAGCCUUGACUUCCCAGGCUCAAUGAAUAGCUGGGACUACAGGUGUGCACCACCAUACCCGGCUAAUUUUUGUAUUUUUUGUAGAGAUGGUGUUUCGCCAUCUUGCCCAAGCUGGUCUCAAACUCCUGGCCUCAAGUGAUCCACCCGUCUAGGCCUCCUACAGUGCUGGGAUUACAGGGUUGAGCCACCACACCCAGCCUCAUGGUUGAAUUUUAGGAGAGCCGUACAUCUCCUCCUGAUAAUACAUGCAAAACUUCAUGUGUCCAUUUUUUUCUGAGUUGAAGUUUCAUAGUUUUCAUCCAAUUCUCAAAGGUGUUUAUAAACCAAUAAAGGUUAAGAAUCAUGUUGUGCAUUUGAAAGACUAAUAGAAAGGCUUAAGCUUAAUGCUGUAGCAAAUUAGUCUUCAAAAGUUUUCUACCAUAGCAUUCAUUAGGAACAGAAGAGGGGGAAUGAGACCCUAAGAUUUAGAGAUGAAGUCUGAAACUUAGGACUUUAUAUUUAUCUGAACAUCAUAUGUAAAUUUUACUAUUAUGGGACUGGUAUUAAUGCUUCCUUAUAAAAAUAUAUUUAGCCUCAUCAGUGAUCAGGGAACCAUAUUUGGGACCAGUCUGUUCAGUUGGCAAAAAUUAAAAAGGCCAUCAUAUCAGAAAGGAGAAGGUAAAAUGAUUUGUUCACAGACAGCAUGAUCUUUUAUGUACAAAACCCUAAAGAUUCCACCCAAAAAACCCUGUUAGAACUAAAAAACAAAGUUGCAGGAUGCAAAACCACACAAAAUUUAGUUGCAUUUCGAUGUAAAAUUUAAAAAGGAAAUCUUAAAAAUUCCAUUUGCAACAGCAUCAGAACUAAAAUACUUGUGAAUAAAUUUAACCAAAGAGGCAAGACUUGUACACUGACAACUACAAACAUUGCUGAAGCAAAUUAAAGAAUAUAGAAAUAAGUGGAAUGACGCACUGUGUUCAUAGAUUGAAACAGUUAAUAUUAAGAUGUUGAUACUACUCAAAGUGAUCUACAGAUUCAUUAGGUAAUCCCUGUCAAAAUCCCAGUGACUUUUUUUCAGAAAUAGAAAAAUUCAUCCUAAAAUGUAUAUGAAAACUCAGAGUACCCCAAAUAGCCAAACAAUUUUGCAAGAGAACAAAGUUGAAGGUCUCAUGCUUCCUGAUUUCAAAAUUUAACUAUAAAGCUACAGUAAUCAAAACACUGUAGUCCUAGCAUAAAGACAGACAUAUAGAAUAAAGAACCCAGAACUAAACCCUCACAUAUAUGGUCAAUUGAUUUUUGACAAGGUUGUCAAGACCAGUCAAUCAAUGGAGAAAGGAUAUCCAGUUUUCUCCAUUUUUACAUGUGGAUAUCCAGUUUUCCCAACACCAUGUAUUUAAAAGAUAAAUAACCUAAAUGAUAAAUCUAAAUGUCUAAAAAAUAAAUAAUCUAAAAAUAUCCAGUUUUUUUGGGGUCAGGUGCAGUGGCUUACGCCUGUAAUCCCAACACUUCGGGAGGCCGAGGUGGGCAGAUCACUUGAGGUCAGGAGUUCGAGACUAGCCUGGCCAACAUGGUGAAACCCCAUCUCUACUAUAAAUGCAAAAAUUAUCUGGGUGUGGUAGCGGGCACCUGUAAUCCCAGCUACUUGAGAGCCAGAGGCUCGAGAAUCGCUUGAACCCGAGAGGCUGAGGUUGCAGUGAGCCAAGAUCGUGCCACUGCAUUCCAGUUGGGGUGACAGAGCGAGACUGAGUCAAAAAAAAAAAAAAUCCAGUUUUCCCAACAGCAUUUAUCUUUUCAAUAAAUGGUGUAUUUUGCAUGUGGAUAAUCCAGUUUUCCCAACACGAUUUAUCUUUAAGAUAGCCACAUGCAAAAUUAACUCAAAAUGGAUCAAAGACUUAAAUGAAAGUGCUAAAACUCUUAGAUGAAAACAGGAAAACCUUCAUGACAUUGGAUUUGGCAAUGAUUUAUUGAAUAUAACACCAGAAGCAAAGGCAACAAAAAAUAAAUUGGACUUUAUCAAAAUUAAAAAUGUUUAUUCAUCAAAGGACACAACAGAGUGAAAAGGAAACUCAUGGAAUGGGAGAAAUAUUUACAAAGCAUAUAUCUGGUAAGGGAUUAAAAUCCAUUAUAAAUACAUUUUAAAAUCCUUCAACUCACCAAAUAAAAUCCCAAUUCAAAAAUGGGCAAAGGACUUAAACAAAGGUUUCUCCAAAGAAGAUAAGCAAAUGGCUGAUAAGCCCAUGAAAAGAUGGUCAACAUAACUAACUAGGGAAUUGCAAAACAAACCACUUCACACUCAUUAGGAUGGCAGUUAUUUAAAAAAAAACAAAACAGGGCCAGGUGCAGUGGCUCAUGCCUGUAAUCCCAGCACUUUGGGAGGCCGAGGCGGGUGUAUCACGAGGUUGGGAGUUCAAGACCAGCAUGAACAACAUGGUGAAACCCUGUCUGUACUAAAAAUACAAAAAUUAGGUGUGGUGGCGUAUGCCUGUAAUCCCAGCUUCUCAGGAAGCUGAAGCAGGAGAAUCACUUGAACACAGGAGGUGGAGGUUGCAGUGAGCCGAGAUCAUGCCACUGCACUCUAGCCUGGGCGACAGACCGAGACUCCAUCUCAAAAAAAAAAAAAAAAGUAUUAGUGAGGAAGUGAAGAAAGUCAACCCCUUAUGCAUUGCUGGGAUGAAUAUAAAAUGAUACAGUCGGGAUGGGAAAUCAGUAUGGUUGUUCCUCAAAAAAUUAAACCUAAGGUUGGGCACAGUGGCUCACGCUUGUAAUCCCUGCACUUCGGGAGGCUGAGGCAGGUGGAUCUUGUGAGCCCAAAAGUUUGAGAUCAUCCUGGGCAACAUGGCAAAACCCUGUCUCUAGAAAAAGUACAAAAAUUAGCCAGGUGUAAUAGUACAUGCCUGUAGUUCCAGCUACUCAGGAGGCUGAGGUGGGAGGAUCACCUGUGCCCAGGAGGUUGAGGCUGCAGUGAGCCAUGAGCAUGCCACUGCACUAAAUAAAGAAUUACCAUAGGAUCCAGCAAUUCCACUUCUAGUAUCUACCAAAAGAAUUGAAAGCAGGGACUUCAAAAGAUAUUUAUAUAUCCAUGUUCAUGGCAGCAUUAUUCACAGUAGCCAAAAGGUGGAAGUAUCCCAAGGGUCCAUCAAUGGAUGAAUGGAUAAAAUAAUAUGGUAUAUACAUACAAUGGGAUAUCAUUCUGCCUUGAGAAAUUCUGACAUGUGUUAUAACAUGGAUGAACUUUGAAGAUACACUAAGUGAGAUAAGCUAGCCACAAAAGAACAAAUAGUGUAUGAUUUCUCUAAUACCAGAAGUAAACCAAAAGUAUCCAAGACAGGUCUCAAUCCAUUUAGGAAGUUUAUUUUGACAGGGUUAAGGAUGUACCUGUAAUACAGCCUCAAGUGGUCCCAAGGUGGUCGGGGUACAGCUUGCUUUUAUACGUUUUAGAGAGUCAUGAGACAUCAAUCAAUACAUGUAAGAUGUACAUUGGUUUAAUCUGGAAAGGCAGGAACACUUGAAACUGGGGCUUCCAGGUCAUAGGUAGAUUAAAAAAAUUUUUUUAUUAUACUUUUAGGGUACAUGUGCACAACAUGCAGGUUUGUUACAUAUGUAUACAUGUGCCAUGUUGGUGUGCUGCACCCAUUAACUCGUCAUUUAACAUUAGGUAUAUCUCCCAAUGCUAUCCCUCCCCCUCCCCCCACCCCACAACAGGCCCCAGUGUGUGAUGUUCCCCUUCCCCUGUCCAUGUGUUCUCAUUGUUCAAUUCCCACCUAUGAGUGAGAACAUGUGGUGUUUGGUUUUUUAUCCUUGCGAUAGUUUGCUGAGAAUGAUGGUUUCCAGCUUCAUCCAUGUCCCUACAAAGGACAUGAACUCAUCAUUUUUUAUGGCUGCAUAGUAUUCCAUGGUGUAUAUGUGCCACAUUUUCUUAAUCCAGUCUAUCAUUGUUGGACAUUUGGAUUGGUUCCAAGUCUUUGCUAUUGUGAAUAGUGCCACAAUAAACAUACGUGUGCACGUGUCUUUAUAGCAGCAUGUUUUAUAAUCCUUUGGGUAUAUACCCAGUAAUAGGAUGGCUGGGUCAAAUGGUAUUUCUAGUUCUAGAUCCCUGAAGAAUCACCACACUGACUUCCACAAUGGUUGAACUAGAGUCCCACCAACGUGUAAAAGUGUUCCUAUUUCUCCACAUCCUCUCCAGCACCAGUUGUUUCCUGACUUUUUAAUGAUCGCCAUUCUAACUGGUGUGAGAUGGUAUUUCAUUGUGGGUUUGAUUUGCAUUUCUCUGAUGGCCAGUGAUGAUGAGCAUUUUUUCAUGUGUCUAUUGGUUGCAUAAAUGUCUUCUUUUGAGAAGUGUCUGUUCAUAUCCUUCUCCCACUUUUUGAUGGGGUUGUUUGUUUUUUUCUUGUAAACUUGUUGGAGUUCAUUGUAGAUUCUGGAUAUUAGCCCUUUGUCAGAUAAGUAGAUUGCAAAAAUCUUCUCCCAUUCUGUAGGUUGCCUGUUCACUCUGAUGGUAGUUUCUUUUGCUGUGCAGAAGCUCUUUAGUUUAAUUAGAUCCCAUUUAUCUAGUUUGGCUUUUGUUGCCAUUGCUUUUGGUGUUUUAGACAUGAAGUCCUUGCCCAUGCCUAUGUCCUGAAUGGUAUUGCCUAGGUUUUCUUCUAGGGUUUUUAUGGUUUCAGGUCUAACAUUUAAGUCUUUAGUCCAUCUUGAAUUAAUUUUUGUGUAAGGUGUAAGGAAGGGAUCCAGUUUCAGCUUUCUACAUAUGGCUAGCCAGUUUUCCCAGCACCAUUUAUAAAAUAGGGAAUCCUUUCCCCAUUUCUUAUUUUUGUCAGGUUUGUCAAAGAUCAGAUGGUUGUAGAUAUGUGGCAUUAUUUCUGAGGGCUCUGUUCUGUUCCAUUGGUCUACAUCUCUGUUUUGGUACCAGUACCAUGCUGUUUUCGUUACUGUAGCCUUGUAGUAUAGUUUGAAGUCAGGUAGCGUGAUGCCUCCAGCUUUGUUCUUUUGGCUUAGGAUUGUCUUGGCAAUGCAGGCUCUUUUUUGGUUGCAUAUGAACUUUAAAGUAGUUUUUUCCAAUUCUGUGAAGAAAGUCAUUGGUAGCUUGAUGGGGAUGGCAUUGAAUCUAUAAAUUACCUUGGGCAGUAUGGCCAUUUUCACGAUAUUGAUUCUUCCUACCCAUGAGCAUGGAAUGUUCUUCAUUUGUUUGUAUCCUCUUUUAUUUCAUCGAGCAGUGAUUUGUAGUUCUCCUUGAAGAGGUCCUUCACAUCACUUGUAAGUUGGAUUCCUGGGUAUUUUAUUCUCUUUGAAGCAAUUGUGAAUGGGAGUUCACUCAUGAUUUGGCUCUGUGUUUGUCUGUUAUUGGUGUAUAAGAAUGCUUGUGAUUUUUGCACAUUGAUUUUGUAUCCUGAGACUUUGCUGAAGUCGCCUAUCAGCUUAAGGAGAUUUUGGGCUGAGACAAUGGGGUUUUCUAGAUAUACAAUCAUGUCAUCUGCAAACAGGGACAAUUUGACUUCCUCUUUUCCUAAUUGAAUACCCUUUAUUUCCUUCUCCUGCCUGAUUGCCCUGGCCAGAACUUCCAACACUAUGUUGAAUAGGAGUGGUGAGAGAGGACAUCCCUGUCUUGUGCCAGUUUUCAAAGGGAAUGCUUCCAGUUUUUGCCCAUUCAGUAUGAUAUUGGCUGUGGGUUUAUCAUAGAUAGCUCUUAUUAUUUUGAGAUAUGUCCCAUCAAUACCUAAUUUAUUGAGAGUUUUUAGCAUGAAGAGUUGUUGAAUUUUGUCAAAGGCCUUUUCUGCAUCUAUUGAGAUAAUCAUGUGGUUUUUGUCAUUGGUUCUCUUUAUAUUAUGGAUUACGUUUAUUGAUUUGUGUACAUUGAACCAGUCUUGCAUCCCAGGGAUGAAGCCCACUUGAUCAUGGUGGAUAAGCUUUUUGAUGUGCUGCUGGAUUCGGUUUGCCAGUAUUUUAUCGAGGACAUUUGCAUCGAUGUUCAUCAGGGAUAUUGGUCUAAAAUUCUCUUUUUUCAUUGUGUCUCUGCCAGGCUUUGGUAUCAGGAUGAUGCUGGCAUCAUACAAUGAGUUAGGGAGGUUUCCCUCUUUUUCUAUUGAUUGGAAUAGUUUCGGAAGGAAUGGUACCAACUCCUCCUUGUACCUCUGGUAGAAUUCGGCUGUGAAUCCAUCUGGUCCUGGACUUUUUUUGGUUGGUAAGCUAUUAAUUAUUGCAUCAAUUUCAGAGCCUGUUAUUGGUGUAUUCAGAGAUUCAACUUCUUCCUGGUUUAGUCUUGGGAGGGUGUAUAUGUCGAGGAAUUUAUCCAUUUCUUCUAGAUUUUCUAGUUGAUUUGUGUAGAGGUGUUUAUAAUAUUCUCUGAUGGUAGUUUCUAUUUCUGUGGGAUCGGUGGUGAUAUCCCCUUUAUCAUUUUUUUAUUGCGUCUAUUUGAUUCUUCUCUCUUUUCUUCUUUAUUAGUCUUGCUGGUAGUCUAUCAAUUUUGUUGAUCUUUUCAAAAAACCAGCUCCUGGAUUGAUUGAUUUUUUGAAGGGUUUUUUGUGUCUCUAUUUCCUUCAGUUCUGCUCUGAUCUUAGUUAUUUCUUGCCUUCUGGUAGCUUUUGAAUGUGUUUGCUCUUGCUUCUCUAGUUCUUUUAAUUGUGAUGUUAGGGUGUCAAUUUUAGCUCUUUCCUGCUUUCUCUUGUGGGCAUUUAGUGCUAUAAAUUUCCCUCUACACACUGCUUUGAAUGUGUCCCAGAGAUUCUAGUAUGUUGUGUCUUUGUUCUUGUUGGUUUCAAAGAAUAUCUUUAUUUCUGCCUUCAUUUUGUUAUGUACCCAGUAGUCAUUCAGGAGCAGGUUGUUCAGUUUCCAUGUAGUUGAGUGGUUUUGAGUGAGUUUCUUAAUCCUGAGUUCUAGUUUGAUUGCACUGUGGUCUGAGAGACAGUUUUUUAUAAUUUCUGUUCUUUUACAUUUGCUGAGGAAUAAGUAUGGUGUGAUGCUGAAAAGAAUGUAUAUUCUGUUGAUUUGGGGUGGAGAGUUCUGUAGAUGUCUAUUAGGUCUGCUUGGUGCAGAGCUGAGUUCAAUUGCUGGAUAUCCUUGUUAACUUUCUGUCUCGUUGAUCUGUCUAAUGUUGACAGUGGGGUGUUAAAGUCUCCCAUUAUUAUUGUGUAGGAGUCUAAGUCUCUUUGUAGGUCUCUAAGGACUUGCUUUAUGAAUCUGGGUGAUCCUGUAUUGGUUGCAUAUAUAUUUAGGAUAGUUAGCUCUUCUCGUUGAAUUGAUCCCUUUACCAUUAUGUAAUGGCCUUCUUUGUCUCUUUUGAUCUUUGUUGGUUUAAAGUCUGUUUUAUCAGAGACUAGGAUUGCAACCACUGCCUUUUUUUGUUUUCCAUUUGCUUGGUAGAUCUUCCUCCAUCCCUUUAUUUUGAGCCUAUAUGUGUCUCUGCAGAUGAGAUGGGUUUCCUGAAUACAGCACACUGAUGGGUCUUGACUCUUUAUCCAAUUUGCCAGUCUGUGUUUUUUAAUUGGAGCAUUUAGCCCAUUUACAUUUAAGGUUAAUAUUGUUAUGUGUGAAUUUGAUCCUGUCAUGAUGAUGUUAGCUGGUUAUUUUGCUCGUUAGUUGAUGCAGUUUCUUCCUAGCCUCGAUGGUCUUUACAAUUUGACAUGAUUUUGCAGUGGCUGGUACUGGUUGUUCCUUUCCAUGUUUAGUGCUUCCUUCAGGAGCUCUUUUAGAGCAGGCCUUGUGGUGACAAAAUCUCUCAGCAUUUGCUUGUCUGUAAAGGAUUUUAUUUCUCCUUCACUUAUGAAGCUGAGUUUGGCUGGAUAUGAAAUUCUGGGUUGAAAAUUCUUUUCUUUAAGAAUGUUGAAUAUUGGCCCCCACUCCCUUCUGGCUUGUAGAGUUUCUGCCAAGAGAUCAGUUAUUAGUCUGAUGGGCUUCCCUUUGUGGGUAACCUGACCUUUCUCUCUGGCUGCCCUUAACAUUUUUUCCUUUAUUUCAACUUUGGUGAAUCUGACAAUUAUGUGUCUGGGAGUUGCUCUUCUCAAGGAGUAUCUCUGUGGCGUUCUCCGUAUUUCCUGAAUCUGAAUGUUGGCCUGCCUUGCUAGAUUGGGGAAGUUCUCCUGGAUAAUAUCCUGCAGUGUUUUCCAACUUGGUUCCAUUCUCCCCGUCACUUUCAGGUACACCAAUCAGACGUAGAUUUGGUCUUUUCACAUAGUCCCAUAUUUCUUGGAGGCUUUGUUCGUUUCUUUUUAUUCUUUUUUCUCUAAACUUCCCUUCUUGCUUCAUUUCAUUCAUUUCAUCUUCCAUCACUGAUACCCUUUCUUCCAGUUGAUCGAAUCGGCUACUGAGGCUUGUACAUUCAUCACGUAGUUUUCUUGCCUUGGUUUUCAGCUCCAUCAGGGCCUUUAAGGACUUCUCUGCAUUGGUUAUUCUAGUUAGCCAUUCGUCUAAUUUUUUUUUUCAAGGUUUUUAACUUCUUUGCCGUGGGUUCGAACUUCCUCCUUUAGCUCAGAGUAGUUCAAUUGUCCGAAGCCUUCUUCUCUCAACUCGUCAAAGUCAUUCUCCGUCCAGCUUAGUUCCGUUGCUGGUGAGGAGCUGCAUUCCUUUGGAGGAGGAGAGGUGCUCUGAUUUUUAGAGUUUCCAGUUUUUCUGCUGUUUUUUCCCCAUCUUUGUGGUUUUAUCGAGCUUUGGUCUUUGAUGAUGGUGACGUACAGAUGGGGUUUUGGUGUGGAUGUCCUUUCUGUUUGUUAGUUUUCCUUCUAAAAGUCAGGACCCUCAGCUGCAGGUAUGUUGCAGUUUGCUGGAGGUCCAUUCCAGACCCUGUUUGCCUGGGUAUCAGUAGCAGGGGCUGCAGAACAGCAGAUAUUGGUGAACAGCAAAUGUUGCUGCCUGAUCGUUCCUCUGGAAGUUUUGUCUCAGAGGAGUACCCGGCCAUGUGAGGUGUCAGUCUGCCUCUACUGGGGGAUGCCUCCCAGUUAGGCUACUCGGCGGUCAGGGACUCACUUGAGGAGUCAGUCUGUCCAUUCUCAGAUCUUCAGCUGCAUGCUGGGAGAACCACUACUCUCUUCAAAGCUGUCAGACAGGGACAUUUAAGUCUGCAGAGGAUUCUGCUGCCUUUUGUUUGGCUAUGCCCUGCCCCCAGAGGUGGAGUCUACAGAUGCAGGCAAGCCUCUUUGAGCUGCGGUGGGCUCCACCCAGUUCGAGCUUCCUGGCCGCUUUAUUUACCUACUCAAGCCUCGGCAAUGGCGGGCACCCCUCCCCCAGCCUCGCUGCUGCCUUGCAGUUUGAUCUUAGACUGCUGUGCUAGCAAUGAGCAAGGCUCCACGGGCGUAGGACCCUCCGAGCCAUGCACGGGAUAUAAUCUCCUGGUGUGCCGUUUGCUAAGACCAUUGGAAAAGUGCAGUAUUAGGGUGGGAGUGACCUGAUUUUCCAGGUGCUGUCUAUCAUCCCUUUCUUUGACUAGGAAAGGGAAUUCCCUGACCCCUUGCGCUUCCUGGGUGAGGCGAUGCCUUGCCCUGCUUUGGCUCACGCUUGGUGCGCUGCACCCACUGUCCUGCACCCACUGUCUGACACUCCUCAGUGAGAUGAACCCGGCACCUCAGUUGGAAAUGCAGAAAUCACCCAUCUUCUGCGUUGCUCACGCUGGGAGCUGUAGACUGGAGCUGUUCCUAUUUGGCCAUCUUGGCUCCUCCUCAUUUUAAAAUGUUCUGAUCAGCAGUUGGUUGAAAGAGUUAUCAAUGAGUGUCUGGGUUACAGUAAGAAGUUGUAGAGACCAAGGUUUUAUCAUGCAGAUGAAGCCUCCAGGUGGCAGGCUUCACAGAGAAUAGACUGUAAAUAUUUCUUAUCAGACUUUAAGAGUCUGUUCUGUCAGUAAUUCCAAAAGAGAGGAGGGUAUAAUUAGGCAUAUCCAGCUCCCUGCUUCCAUAAUGACCUGAGCUAGUUUUUCAAGUUCACUUUGGAAUGCCCUUGGCCGAGAGAAGGCUUCCAUUCUGAUAGUGUGGGUUGGGGGGAAGAGGGGAUGGUGCUUAUAAUUUUAUUUUUGGUUUAAACAGGUAUCUAGAGUAGUCAUAUCCAUCAGGACAAAAAAUAGAAUGAUGGUUUCCUAGGCUGGAGGAGGGGAGAAUUGAGAGAUAUUUUUAGAUACAGAUUUAUUUUAUUUUAUUUUAUUUUAUUUUUUUGAGAUGGUAUCUCACUCUGUUGCCCAGGUUGGAGUGCAGUGGUGUAAUCUCAGCUCACUGCAACCUCCACUUCCUAGGUUCAAACUAUUGUCCCACCUCAGCUUCCCGAGUAGCUGGGAUUACAGGCAUGCGCCACCAUAUCCAGCUAGUUUUUGUAUUUUUAGUGGAGAUGGGGUUUCACCAUGUUGGCCAGGCUGGUCAUGAACUGCCGACCUCUGAUGAUCUGCCCACCUCGGCCUCCCAAAAUGUUGGGAUUACAGGUGUGAGCCACUGCGCCCAGCCUAGAUACAGAAUUUCAGUUGAAGAAGAUAAGUUCUAGAGAUGGAUGGUGGUAAUGGUUGUACAGCAGUGUGCAUGUACUGAAUGUCUCUGAACUAUAUACUUAAAAAUGUUUAAAAUGGUAAACCUGAUAUAUAUAUGUUAAAGAAAUGUUUAAAGUUGGCCCAUAUCUGGAGGAUACAGAUCAUCAGAAUAUCUUAAUCAUUGCUGGUGGGAGUGUAAAUUGGUAUAGCGCUUUUGGAACAAUUUGGCGUUAUCCUGUAAAGAUAAACAUUUCCAUGCCCUUUGACCUGCCAUUUUGCUCCUAGGCAUAUACAUAAAAGAAACUUUGUUUUUUUUUUUGAGACAGAGUUUGCUCUGUUGUCCAGGCUCAAGUAAAGUGGCACAAUCACAGCUCACUGCAUCCUUGAUCUUCUGGCCUCCAGCUAUCCUCCCACUUCACCCUGCUAGUAGCUGGGACUACAGGUGCAUGCCACCAUGCCCAGCAAAUUUUUUUUUGUUUUUUUUUGGUAGAGGCAGGGUUUCACUAUUGUAUUAGUUCAUUUUUACGCUGCUGAUAAAAACAUAACCGAAACUAAAACCAAAAAGAGGUUUAAUUGGACUUACAGUUCCACGUGGCUGGGGAGGCCUCAGAAUCUUGGUGGGAGGCAAAAAGCACUUCUUUUUUUUUUUUUUUUUUUUUUUUUUGAGACGGAGUCUCACUCUGUCACCAGGCUGGAGUGCAGUGGCGUGAUCUCGGCUCACUGCAACCUCUGCCUCCUGGGUUCAAGUGAUUCUUCUGCCUCAACCUUCCAAGUAGCUGGGACAACAGGCGCACGCCAUCAUGCCCAACUAAUUUUUGUAUUUUUAGUAGAGAUGGGGUUUCAUCAUGAUGGCCAGGCUGGUCUCCAUCUCCUGACCUUGUGAUCUGCCCACCUUGGCCUCCCAAAGUGCUGGGAUUACAGGCCUGAGCCACCAGGCCUGGUCAAAGGCAUUUCUUAAUGGCAGUGGCAAGAGAUAAAUGAGGAAGAAGUAAAAGCGGAAACACCUGAUAAAACCAUCAGAUCUCGUGAGAUUUACUAUCACGAGAAUAGCACAGAAAAGACCAGCCCCCAUGAUUCAGUUACCUCCCCUUGGGUCCCUCCCACGACACGGGGGAAUUCUGGGAGAUACAAUUCAAGUUGAGAUUUGGGUGGGGACACAGCCAAACCAUAUCAACUAUCUUGUCCAAGCUGGUCUUGAACUCCUGGGCUCAAGCGAUCAUCCUGCCUCAGCCUCCCAAAGUGCUGGGAUUAUAGGAAUAAGCCACUGCCCCCAGUUCAAAAAAACUUUUUAACGAGUAUCAGGUCAUGCAUACAAGAGUGUUCAUGUGAGCACUCUUUUUAAUACCAAAACCUGAAAACAACCCAAAUGCCCAUUAACAGGCAAGGGAAUAGACAAAUUAAUUAGAAGCUCCUGGAGGACAGGGACCACCUCUACAAAAAAUAAAAAAUCAGUACCUUCCCCAUCUCACACAGUGUCCCAGGACCCUGCAGGGCAGUGGAGGUGCACCCAUAAAUAAAUAAGGAUAUAUUUAUAUCCACUCCAAGUGAAUGUACCAUAAUUAUAUGCCAUAAUGUGGAUUAAUCCUAGCAAUAUAGUAUUAAGUGAAAAGCAUAUGUCCUUAAAGAUUACAUAUAAAGUUAAUAACAUCUAAACACUCCCUCCCCCCAAAAAAACCCCACUCUUUUUGAAUAUAUUUACAUGUGACAUUAAAAGGGAAAACAGAAUGAUUUCAGUAGUGUUACCUUGGAAUGGGGAAGAGGCUGGGUGAUACAACUGAAGAUCAAACAGGUGAAUAUGAAUGGAAAUUCAUUUCCUAGUUUUCAUGUUGGUGAUAAUGUCAAGUGUAUUUGUUGUAUUAUUUUAAAUGAAUGAAUGAAUGAAUGAAGGAUUGAGGGUCUUGAAUGCACCAACAAUGAGAAUGUGUCAUGAGUCGAGAAUAAUGAUGUAUCUAAUUCUAUGCAUCUGUGCAUCUGAAGGGGCCUUAGAAAAUGCAUUCUGUAUCUGUUUGAUAUAAAUAAGGGGAAGAUGGUGGGGGGGGGAGUGAUGUUUUAAAUUACUCAGCAUCAAAUAAAAUGGAUACUCUGGAAAAAUGUGUCACAUUUCUCCUGUGGUUUCUAGUACCCUCUGACCAAUUGCCACUUUUGCCUGGGCAUUUAAGCAUCCCAAUUUUAGGAGACUGGUGAUAGUGGAAAGUCAGUGAAACAUCUUAAGCUUG